This is a long non-coding RNA of Myotis daubentonii (Daubenton's bat), 472 nucleotides long. RefSeq lists it as uncharacterized. The record is from RefSeq and is a predicted model, not a curated record. Lineage: Eukaryota; Metazoa; Chordata; Mammalia; Chiroptera; Vespertilionidae.
GGCCAGGUGGGGGAGGGGAGGCGCACCCAGCCCCGUCCUCCUGCCCCGUCUGCGGGAGAACCUGAGGCCGGCCCUCCCCAAACUCUGUCUUCCUUUGCCAGCUGCUGCCAACCCAUGGGGAGAAGAACCGAGGCCACAGAAAUCAUGUCCCCUGCGGCUCCACUGGGACUGAUGAGCUGUCCCCGUCCCUCGCCCCUGCCUGCAUUUGCUCCAGCUGCGGCCCUGGGCAGAUUGGUUUUCUGGCUCCAGGAAUGGGUUCAGAUGAUAUCUGCCCUUCCGGUCCCCCGUCCCUACUCUCCACUCGCCCGGCCGGGUGGAGCCCAGGUUUGAGAACCGCAAGUCCAGCCCCUCCUGGCAGCCAGCCCUCUCGUCCAGGCUUGUCAUCUGCAGCCUGCGUCCCGUCUCCCAGCAGCUGUGCACUGAGUCUGUGGGGUGUGAGCUCACUUCACCUGAGAGCUGCAGGUACCAGGGG